RNAcentral lists this ribosomal RNA (253 nucleotides) under uncultured bacterium. RNAcentral's name for it is "partial 16S ribosomal RNA". It matches the Rfam family "Bacterial small subunit ribosomal RNA", at positions 524 to 776 of the family's 1533-position model. The record is from RNAcentral.
UACAGAGGGGGCAAGCGUUAUUCGGAAUUAUUGGGCGUAAAGGGCGCGUAGGCGGCUUGGCAAGUGGAUGGUGAAAUCCCUCGGCUUAACCGAGGAACUGCCGUCCAAACUGCUUCGCUUGAGACCGGGAGAGGUGAGUGGAAUUCCCAGUGUAGCGGUGAAAUGCGUAGAUAUUGGGAGGAGGGGCGGGGGGGAGGGCGGCUCACUGGACGGGUACUGAGGCGAAUGCGCGAAAGCGUGGGGAGCAAACGGG